UAGAACAGGACAGCAGCCCGCGUGGCAUGGAUGAGCGACGGGGAACCCCGCCACUCCCUUUGUUAAGAGAGUCAUUACCCAAUUUGACGUUUCCAUCUGCUUCCGCAACUCACUGGCAGACACAACAAAGCCACGUAGAAAUGACCAUCUUUUCAUGUGGCAUUCAACACAGAAAUAACACCAAACUUUUUUGUAUGCCGGCUUUUCCAACUGCGGUGACACAUGAUACAGAUCAGACCAAACGAAUGCUUUAAAUCGCCUUGAGUAAAGUGUGAGCAACCGCUGAGCGCGCAGAUCCGGACCGCGACUCGCUUCGGGGACGUUGCUUGGGUCUCUUCCCGACCCGCGGUGCUCACACCCCCUUCCCACCAAACGAGCACUUCAACCUGAUGCCCCCGCGCCCUCGACUCACCUGCUUGAAGCAGAAAGGCAUGGUGAGCACGCUGACGCCCACGAUGCUGUUCACCACGUUCGUGAUCAGCCCCCACUUGGAGGUGGAGGCGGCCGUCAUUUUGAGGGUCUAGGGACCAGGACAGAGCGACCCUAGAUAACCCUAAACCUGAAGCAGGGGGGGCCGCGGACAGGCGUCGCGAGGUCAGCCUCCAGACCCUGCCAGGCUCCGCAGCAGCCUCAUAGCCAUGGUUCCAGGUUCCCGCCUCCGCCUCCCCAGAGUGAAGCGGGAACCCGGAAGCGCCGCAGGCAACGCUAGCAACACCUCAGCUCCGCUUCGCUGCCUCCGGCACCCAAACUUCCGCCUUCGGAGCCUACUCUACCAGGAAGUGACGGUAUCAAAGGGCGGGAUGAGGCGGGACGCCAGCCAACUAGAAGUAGAUAAAAAUCAUCGGGACACCGGGAGGUUCAGAGACUCAGCAAAGUCACAACAGCCUGGAGGAGGGAGCAUGGAGAUGUGUCUGUUUGAUACGCUAAGUGGGUGAAAAUGGUCUACUGCCCUAAUAUGAAAGAAAACCAGAGGAAAGGUAAAAAGGAGAGACUAGGGAAAUCUAGGAUUUCAAGAGAUGGUGGCUUCUGUACUGGAAGGACUAAUGAGAAUUCUUCCUGGAGUAAUGGACAUUAAAGAGACUAGAGAAAAGAGAACGCUCCAACACCUAAGUGGAUUACUGGCACCUGGCAGUGUUCUUUAUGGUGGUGUCUGUGGUGAAUGAAGGCCUAGGGACCUGAGGUCCAAGAAAGACCCCACAAUGAUUCCAGGAGGCCAGAGCUGUGCAUGCAAGGAGGAACUUCAAGCUGCCUAAAGAGGCUCUCCUAGAAAACAAUUUGAGGCCCAUGCAAGAUCUCAGACAAGGGACAAAUUCUUCCAGCAUCAGGCAGAGCAGCUUCUAGAGAUGAGAGAGAGAGAGAGAGAGAGAGAGAGAGAGAGAGAGAGAGAGAGAGAGAGAGAAAGGAAAAGCUAGAAAGAGCAAUUGGUGGCAUGAGCCAUUAAUCCCAGCGUUCAGGAGGCAGAGACAAGCAGCUCUCUUGAGUUUGAGGACAGCCUGGUCUACAUAAGUGAGUUCCAGGACAGCCAUGGCUACGUGGAGAAACCCUGUCUCGAACAAAAAAAAAAAAAAAGGAGUAAUUGAAUACAAAGCCAGAAUAGGGUUGGAGAGAUGGCUCAGUGGUUAAGAGCACUGACUGCUCUUCCAGAAGUCCUGAGUUCAGUUCCCAGCAACCACAUCAUAAUGGGAUCCAAUGCCCUCUUCUGGUGUGUCUGAAGACAGCAACUGUGUACUCAUAUACAUUAAAUAAAUAAAUCUUUAAAAAGAAAAAACCAAAA
Long non-coding RNA from Mus musculus (house mouse), 1774 nucleotides. RefSeq annotates it as predicted gene 11769. The transcript is spliced from 3 exons. The record is from RefSeq and is a predicted model, not a curated record. Lineage: Eukaryota; Metazoa; Chordata; Mammalia; Rodentia; Muridae.